Molecule: RNase P RNA, 386 nt
Filed under: Hyphomicrobiales bacterium
Lineage: Bacteria; Pseudomonadati; Pseudomonadota; Alphaproteobacteria; Hyphomicrobiales
Description: RNase P RNA component class A
Rfam family: Bacterial RNase P class A
About the family: Ribonuclease P (RNase P) is a ubiquitous endoribonuclease, found in archaea, bacteria and eukarya as well as chloroplasts and mitochondria.
Source: RNAcentral
CCAGUCGGCCGGAUGGCCGCUGCCUUCGGGCAGAGGAAAGUCCGGGCUCCACGGAGAUACGGCGCCGGAUAACGUCCGGCGGGGGCGACCCCAGGGAAAGCGCCACAGAAAGCAAACCGCCGCUUCCGUUCGCGGGGCGGCAAGGGUGAAAGGGUGCGGUAAGAGCGCACCGCGCCGGCGGCGACGCAGGCGGCAUGGCAAGCCCCGCCGGGAGCAAGACCGAAUAGGGGCGACGCGGCGGCGGAAACGCCGCCGGACCCGUCUCCGGGUCGUCGCCCGGGUUGGUUGCACGAGGCGGUCGGCGACGACCGUCCCAGAGGAAUGGCCAUCACGUCCGCGGGCGACCGCGGGCCAUACAGAACCCGGCUUACAGGCCGACUGGCGUC